Molecule: ribosomal RNA, 1986 nt
Filed under: Triticum aestivum (bread wheat)
Lineage: Eukaryota; Viridiplantae; Streptophyta; Magnoliopsida; Poales; Poaceae
Description: partial small subunit ribosomal RNA
Source: RNAcentral
AUGGCUCGUCGUGCUGCGGAGGCACUGCUCGUCCUCGGCUUCCUCUUCUUACCCCUCACGGCGUCGAGCUUCCUCGUCCCAGAGAGCCGGCGCCGGUCCGGCGAGACUGGCGACGAGGUGCUCGGCAUCGCCCUCGGCGCGACCCACUCGUGCAUUGCCGCCGUACACCGGGACGGCUCCAUCGAGAUCGUCCCUGACGACCGGGGCAACCGCGUCACCCCCGCGUGGGUCGCCUUCAUCGACGACGGCGAGAGGCUGGUCGGAGAGGCCGCCAGGGACCAGUACGCCGCCAACCCGAACCGCACCAUCUAUGGCGCCAGGCGCAUCCUGGGACGGCGGUUCAGUGACGCCGACCUGCAGCAGGACGUGGAGACCUUGCCGUACGCCGUCGUCGACCGGGACGGGAUGCCGUACGUCCGGGUGGAUGUGGGCGAGGACGACGUGCGGUUGCUCAGUCCCGUGGAGAUCACUGCCGCGGUGUUUGCGGACAUGAUGGACAGGGCGGCGGCCCACCUAGGCAGGAAGGUCACGCGGGCGGUGCUCACCGUCCCCGCCCACUACACCGACGCGCAGAUGUACGCUACCAAGGAGGCCGGCAUCCUCGCCGGGCUCGACGUCCUCCGCUUGGUAAGGGAUCCCGUCGCCGCCGCCAUCGCCAACGGCCUCGACAAGCAUAGGGGCGACCCCAGGAACAUGCUGGUGUUCGACCUCGGCGGCAGCACGCUCGACGUCGCUGUGCUCACCCUCGAUGAAGGCGUGUUCGAGACCAUGGCGAGCCGCAGCGACGCCCACCUCGGCGGUGACGACUUCGACCGGCGACUCGCGGGCUACUUCGCCGAGCUGUUCCAGCGCAAGCACGGCCGGGACGUCACCGGCGACGGACACGCGAUGCAGAGGCUGCUGCGGGAGUGCGAGCGCGCCAAACGGGCGCUGAGCGACCACGACCAGCACCAGGUGGGCGUGGAGGUCAAGGCGCUCUUGGACGGCGUCGACCUCUCGGAGACGCUCACCAGGGAGCUGUUCGAGGAGCUCAACCAGGACCUUUUCUUGAAGACGAUGGCUCCGUUGAACAAGGCCAUGGAGGACGCCGAGCUGGAGAAGGGAGACAUCCACGAUGUCAUCCUCGUGGGCGGCGGCAGCAGGAUCCCCAUGGUGCAGCAGCUUGUCAAGGACUACUUCGACGGCAAGGAGCCCGUCAACGUCGACGGGAUCAACCCCGACGAGGCCGUCGCCUACGGGGCCGCCGUUCAGGGGAGCCACCUGACUGGACACCAUGACGACGACGACAAGGUGUUUUUUGGCAUAGUUGACGUGCCGCAGCCCGCUAUCGGCAUCGAAGCUGCCGACGGGGCAAUGGUGAAGCUGAUCCGGAGGGACGCCGGCUACCCGGCCAAGGGGACGCAUGUCAUCACCACGUACUGGGACAAGCGGACCACCAUGGCAGUCAAGGUGUAUGAGGGCGACCGAACUGAGGUCAAGGAUAACAGACUCCUCUGCCAGCUUGACCUCUCUGAAAUCCCACCUGCAAGUAUAUGGAAUUGGGGAAGGCGGGACAUCGAGGUGACCAUCGAGGUGGACCAGGCGGGCACGAUCCACGCCGAGGCGACGGAUAAGGCCUCCGGCAAGUCGGCCAAUACCAGCUAUGGUUAUCAUCAUCGGCGGCUGAGUCAGGAAGAGAUUGACGCUAUGAUGCGUGAAGCGGACGAGUUCGCCAGGGACGCCAAAGCUAGGCUGGAGGCCUACGUGCACAGCAUCAAGGAGACCCUUGCCGCUGCUGGUGACAUGGAGCUGGAGGAGAAGAGGAGGGGGGAGGUGGAGGGUGAGGUGAUGGCGGUGAGCAAGUGGCUCGACGGAAACACAGAGAACGCCGAGGAGGGGGACUAUGAGAAGAAGCUCUGGGAGUUGCAGGGCAUAUGCGACCCUGUCAUCUCGGCCAUGCAAACAAGGUUGGGAGGUGGCCUCGAUGACUACGAGGAUGAGCUUUAG